Molecule: small nuclear RNA, 142 nt
Organism: Lutra lutra (Eurasian river otter)
Lineage: Eukaryota; Metazoa; Chordata; Mammalia; Carnivora; Mustelidae
Product: U4 spliceosomal RNA
Exons: 1
Source: RefSeq, a predicted model, not a curated record
AGCUUUGCACAGUGGCAGUAUCGUAGCCAAUGAGGUUUAUCCGAGGCGCGAUUAUUGCUAAUUGAAAGCCAAAGGGUUAGUCAGGCCUUAGGACUGAUGCAGAAGUGGAGGCACCGAUACGAAGCUACUUUGUGAGUGGGUG